RNAcentral lists this unclassified non-coding RNA (320 nucleotides) under fungal sp. Its description in RNAcentral is "partial internal transcribed spacer region". The stretch from base 1 to 46 matches the Rfam family "Eukaryotic small subunit ribosomal RNA", at positions 1786 to 1831 of the family's 1831-position model. The record is from RNAcentral. Lineage: Eukaryota; Fungi.
AAGUCGUAACAAGGUUUCCGUAGGUGAACCUGCGGAAGGAUCAUUAUCACGUAUCCACGUAUAAACCAUUGUGAACUGUGUUAACCUUUGGAGGGAACUGUGUGGAAUGUAUUGUUGUUUGUGAUUUAACAAUCUUUCACAUGCUCUACUGUUCUCUCUGAAGUGUAUUUCUUAAAUCACUUUAUUAACCCUUUAAACCUUAUUUUUUAAAACUCUGAACUAAUUCAUUUCUUACUCUUCGGAGAAGAAAUAUUUUACGAAACUAAAGAACAACUCUUAGCAACGGAUAUCUUGGUUCUCGUAACGAUGAGGAACGCAGC